GAUGAACGCUGGCGGCGUGCCUAAUACAUGCAAGUCGAGCGAACAGACGAGGAGCUUGCUCCUCUGACGUUAGCGGCGGACGGGUGAGUAACACGUGGAUAACCUACCUAUAAGACUGGGAUAACUUCGGGAAACCGGAGCUAAUACCGGAUAAUAUAUUGAACCGCAUGGUUCAAUAGUGAAAGACGGUUUUGCUGUCACUUAUAGAUGGAUCCGCGCCGCAUUAGCUAGUUGGUAAGGUAACGGCUUACCAAGGCAACGAUGCGUAGCCGACCUGAGAGGGUGAUCGGCCACACUGGAACUUAGACACGGUCAAGACACCUACGGGAGGCAGCAGUAGGGAAGCUUCCGCAAUGGGCGAAAGCCUGACGGAGCAACGCCGCGUGAGUGAGGAAGGUCUUCGGAUCGUAAAACUCUGUUAUGAGGGAAGAACAAAGGGGUAAGUAACUAUGCACGUCUUGACGGUACCUAAUCAGAAAGCCAAGGCUAACUACGUG
Molecule: ribosomal RNA, 497 nt
Filed under: uncultured bacterium
Lineage: Bacteria
Description: partial 16S ribosomal RNA
Rfam family: Bacterial small subunit ribosomal RNA
Source: RNAcentral